GUAGGGUCCAAGCGUUAAUCGGAAUUACUGGGCGUAAAGCGUGCGCAGGCGGUUGUGCAAGACCGAUGUGAAAUCCCCGGGCUUAACCUGGGAAUUGCAUUGGUGACUGCACGGCUAGAGUGUGUCAGAGGGGGGUAGAAUUCCACGUGUAGCAGUGAAAUGCGUAGAGAUGUGGAGGAAUACCGAUGGCGAAGGCAGCCCCCUGGGAUAACACUGACGCUCAUGCACGAAAGCGUGGGGGGAGCAAACAGGAUUAGAUACCCUGGUAGUCCACGCCCCUAAACGAUGUCAACUAGUUGUUGGGGAUUCAUUUCCUUAGUAACGUAGCUAACGCGUGAAGUUGACCGCCUGGGAGUACGGUCGCAAGAUUA
Molecule: ribosomal RNA, 371 nt
Filed under: uncultured organism
Description: partial 16S ribosomal RNA
Rfam family: Bacterial small subunit ribosomal RNA
Source: RNAcentral